CACGUUCUCGCUAUAUCUCCCUCCCCCUCUUCUUACUCUCGCGAUUUUUGAUUAUGCCAAAGUGUUCGUCGCUUGCUGCUGUGUCGUCGAUCGUUGUCAGAUUCAUCCCAUCGCUGACGACCAGCCUCCGACCUCCGCCUCCUUCCAGCCUUCGACCUCCACCUCCUUCCAGUUACACAGCCAGGAGAACGAUCGUCUCCUCCCAGGUAACUUUUGAAAAUGGCAAAUAAAAGAAUGCGAAAGCUAAUCCAAAAUAGCCAAAGACGAUCUAGGAGAGAAGAAUCAAGUAACAGAGGAGUUGAUGAUGCAAAUGAAUUACAAUACACAACAUCCCAUUCACCAUUAGAUGCAAAAGGUUGGAACCGCCAACCCAGCGGCCCCCUCAUCCCGGCCCCACAAGUAUGAGAGGGAGUAAAUCACGGUGAAUGCGGGCCCAGCUAUGACAUGGCGGUCUUAGGUGUUUAGCACGGACAGAUAUUGAUGUUAUCGCAAUUGCUGCCGCAGACCUUCGACCUCCCGACUCAUGAUGCAAGAAUACCAUGUCAUAACCGGCUGAUCCCGCCCGUGGAGGCAUCCCAUUCACCAUUAGAGAUACAACAUGAGGAGGUUAAUGAGCAAGUUGAAAAUGAGGUCAUGCCUUCAUCCCAAAGUCAGCAAAGAAACGUGGCAAGACUAUCAUGAGAGAUAUUCAUGCAUUACAUCCCGAUCAUGUGCUCGUAGUUGAAUUCAAUGAAAGGGGACAACCUUACGGUGAUCUACAACCGAUGCUUGCAAAUUUUAUUGGGACUAUUGCACGGAAUGGACUUGUGUUGCCCCUAUACUUUUUAGAUUGGAGAAAAAUGCCGAAAAAUCGCUUGAAUGAUGCAUGGAAACUUGUUACCGCACGUUUCUAUAUCCCCAAUCAUCAUAGAAGAGUUAUAUUGCAAAUGAUGGGGGCCGCAUGGAGACGGUGGAGGACUGAAGUGAAAGCUACAUCUUAUGAUUCAAAUACUCCACUAGAAGAGCUUGUUGCAACACAACCCAUUCCUCAUGGAUUGACACCUCAAACUUGGGAAGUUUUAUGUAACUAUUGGAAGUCUACUGAGAAAACCUCAAAAAUCAAUAGAGAAAAUGCAAACAAAAAGAAAGGGACUCAUGCAUAGGGGACACACUAAUAUUCCGUCAUUGGAAUAUAAAUUUGUUGCUAUUGAAGGUUGGAGCAAAUGCCUUUUGUCGCUUGAAGCACUUGUCUUUUGUCGUUUAGAGCGCAUGCCUUUUGUUGUUUGGAGCACAUGUCUUUUGAUGUUUUUUUGGUGAAGAAAACUUGUUAUUGAAAGUUGUAUAUAUUUGUAUAUAUUUUGGAGAUUGAAGAAAAUAUUAUGUUUGUGUUA
Zingiber officinale is the source of this 1370-nucleotide long non-coding RNA. RefSeq lists it as uncharacterized. The record is from RefSeq and is a predicted model, not a curated record. NCBI's taxonomy places the organism in Eukaryota, Viridiplantae, Streptophyta, Magnoliopsida, Zingiberales, Zingiberaceae. The transcript is spliced from 6 exons.